AUCAAUUUAACAAAAGUUAUGUGGCUGAUUUAGAAUCAGUAUAUGUAAGUUAAAAUCUUAUAUUUGAUA
RNAcentral lists this transfer RNA (69 nucleotides) under Callinina georgiana. Its description in RNAcentral is "Viviparus georgianus tRNA-Leu". It matches the Rfam family "tRNA". From Rfam's summary of the family: Transfer RNA (tRNA) molecules are approximately 80 nucleotides in length. The record is from RNAcentral. Lineage: Eukaryota; Metazoa; Mollusca; Gastropoda; Architaenioglossa; Viviparidae.